Molecule: ribosomal RNA, 462 nt
Filed under: uncultured bacterium
Lineage: Bacteria
Description: bacterial SSU rRNA
Rfam family: Bacterial small subunit ribosomal RNA
Source: RNAcentral
GACGAACGCUGGCGGCGUGCCUAACACAUGCAAGUCGAACGGAGUCGGCCCCGCAAGGGACUGACUUAGUGGCGAACGGGUGAGUAACGCGUGAGCAACCUGCCUUUCAGUGGGGGACAACAGUUGGAAACGACUGCUAAUACCGCAUGAAGCAUAAUGAUCGCAUGGUCGAUAUGCCAAAGAUUUAUUGCUGAAAGAUGGGCUCGCGUCUGAUUAGAUAGUUGGUGAGGUAACGGCCCACCAAGGCGACGAUCGGUAGCCGGACUGAGAGGUUGAACGGCCACAUUGGGACUGAGACACGGCCCAGACUCCUACGGGAGGCAGCAGUGGGGAAUAUUGCACAAUGGGGGAAACCCUGAUGCAGCGACGCCGCGUGGAGGAAGAAGGUCUUCGGAUUGUAAACUCCUGUUGUUGAGGAAGAUAAUGACGGUACUCGACAAGGAAGUGACGGCUAACUACGUG